Felis catus (domestic cat) is the source of this 85-nucleotide transfer RNA. It matches the Rfam family "tRNA". From Rfam's summary of the family: Transfer RNA (tRNA) molecules are approximately 80 nucleotides in length. Their secondary structure includes four short double-helical elements and three loops (D, anti-codon, and T loops). Further hydrogen bonds mediate the characteristic L-shaped molecular structure. tRNAs have two regions of fundamental functional importance: the anti-codon, which is responsible for specific mRNA codon recognition, and the 3' end, to which the tRNAs corresponding amino acid is attached (by aminoacyl-tRNA synthetases). tRNAs cope with the degeneracy of the genetic code in two manners: having more than one tRNA (with a specific anti-codon) for a particular amino acid; and 'wobble' base-pairing, i.e. permitting non-standard base-pairing at the 3rd anti-codon position. The record is from Rfam. Lineage: Eukaryota; Metazoa; Chordata; Mammalia; Carnivora; Felidae.
GCCUGGGUGGCUAAGUCAGUUAAGCAUCCGACUUCGGCUCAGGUCAUGAUCUCAGGGCUCGUGGGUUCGAGCCCCGCACUGGGCU